This is a long non-coding RNA of Daucus carota subsp. sativus, 695 nucleotides long. RefSeq lists it as uncharacterized. The record is from RefSeq and is a predicted model, not a curated record. Lineage: Eukaryota; Viridiplantae; Streptophyta; Magnoliopsida; Apiales; Apiaceae. The transcript is spliced from 4 exons.
CAAAACCCUAAUGUGUGUAUAUAUAACCCCUCGUAAACAUCACAUCCGCCGCAAAACUUCUCUUAUAUCUGAUAAAACAAUCUAUAUCAUAUAUACUCAACACAUGUUACUUGUUAUUCAUGAUAUCAUUUGUAAAUUCUUGCCUCAAAUUUGAGACUGUACUUCAAUUGUGGAUGAAAUUUUUUACUAUAAGAUCAACCCUGGCGAGAUGGUUUCUUAUUCAUUGGGCAGAUUUUUCACAUAGAAGUACAGAACUUUGUAAUACUUGUAUUAUUGUUGGAUCCAUUUGUAAAGCAAUGAAGAUGAUGCUCCAGUUCAACACUAUCAUUGAUAAAGUUCACAUGGAAGAAGGCAAGAUAUGCCAUUUCUGGAUGGCUCAUAUAUAUUUGAGCAUAUUUUCUUUUGUGAACUUCUGUAUGACCCUUAGAGCACAGAGCCGUCAAGUAGAGCCCUUAAACAGUUGCCAGUUCAUAUCAAGCUAACUGGAUCACAGGAGAAAGUGUUGAAUAAUGCUACAACUCAUAGGACAUCAAGGAGCUACAGAAUCUUAAUAAUUUGUCGAAGAACUGAGCAGGGUUAUGAUUUUGAUUCUUGCCGCUAUGCAUUCAGUUUUAAUAUUGGAUAAAAUUCAAGACUUCCUUUUCUGAUCUAUGUUUUGUGUUAUUUUUUGUGGUAGUCCAUAAAAAUAUCCAAAA